CGGGUCUUGAUUGGUUUAAUUGGUAAAAUUACUGGGACUUGUUAUCAACGAUUUUAGUUCGAAUAACUUCACGUAGCUUUUUAAUAUUUGUUAUCUUAAUAGAUUAGGUGAAGGCUAAAAAUGUCUAUCAAGUAGGCACCUAUACUAAUUGAUCUUGUCCUUGUCCACGAAAGCAUGAUUGGUGUGCAUGACAGCAUAUCAAUCACAUUAAAAAGUAUACGUUGUAUACCUGAUUAUAAUACAAUUGCACGGGAUAAGAUGAUCUAAAAGAACCAUCGGACUCAAUAUGACUAUUCUAGCUACCACG
RNAcentral lists this long non-coding RNA (307 nucleotides) under Elaeis guineensis (African oil palm). RNAcentral describes it as "long non-coding RNA (EGUI_LNC011029)". Lineage: Eukaryota; Viridiplantae; Streptophyta; Magnoliopsida; Arecales; Arecaceae. The record is from RNAcentral.